GCAAGCUGGUCGUGCUGUGUGUUCAAACAUGAAGAUGAAGCCGAUUUCGAGGGAAUCUUUCAACGUGCUAGCCAGUAAAGAUUUGUGUUGGAUAUGUUCCUGUUUCUUCAGAAGCCAAGGCUUCCUAGUGGCCACGUUGCAUUUUGAGGUAUAUACUUUGAUGAUUGGAAUUUACCCUCUUCGAUAGCCAAGGUUCAAAUAACUCAAACAAGCUGCAUUGCUGACCUUUUUGUCUCUGGUAGAAGAACACGAAUGUUGGCUUUGUUUUAUUUUGAAAUCCCCGUUGGCAGAUAUAGACAGAGCCACAGCAUCGGCAUUGCAAAUCCUACUAUCACAUUUGUUAGGAGAUGCUGGCAGGCUAAUAUUGUGGGUUUGGCAUUUCUUUCUUCAUCAUUCAUGGUAACCGACUGAAUACAAAUUUAAACAAUUCAAACAAACUGCAUUGCUGACUUUUUUGUCCCUGGAAGAAGAACACAAAUGUUGGCUUUGUUUCUUUUGAAAUCCCUGUUGGCAGUGGUCUCUCAAGAUGUUGUUGGUUCAAAAGUAUCUUCUGCAUUUAGUGGUGACAAUUAUUUUAUAAUAGAGAAAACACAGGGGGCAAAUUGAAAAGACUCAGGGUGAUAUCGUUGCAGACAAGGAUGUUAUCAUUCGUCGUUCAUGGUUGAAUGAUGUGGAACAUAUGUUACGCUGAUACAGACAGAGCCACAGCAUGGGCUUGCAAAUCUUGCUAUCAUAUUUGUUAGGAGAUGCUGGCAGCCUUAUAUUGUGGGUUUGAUAUGUAAUAUAUAAUUUGUUGUGCCUAAUAAAGCUAUGAA
Molecule: long non-coding RNA, 815 nt
Filed under: Dendronephthya gigantea
Lineage: Eukaryota; Metazoa; Cnidaria; Anthozoa; Malacalcyonacea; Nephtheidae
Description: uncharacterized LOC114542581, transcript variant X2
Source: RNAcentral